UAAUACGUAGGUGGCAAGCGUUGUCCGGAUUUACUGGGCGUAAAGCGUGUGCAGGCGGACCUUUAAGUAGAAAGUGAAAGGUUGGAGCUCAACUCCAACACUGCUUCCUAUACUGGGGGUCUUGAGUGUCGGAGAGGAAGAUGGAACUACACGUGUAGCGGUGAAAUGCGUUGAUAUGUGUAGGAACACCAAUGGCGAAGGCAAUCUUCUGGACGAAUACUGACGCUGAUACACGAAAGCCAAGGUAGCAAACAGGAUUAGAUACCCUGGUAGUCUUGGCCCUAAACUAUGUUCACUAGGUGUUGGGAGGUAUCUCUCAGUGCCGCAGCUAACGCAUUAAGUGAACCGCCUGGGGACUACGGCCGCAAGGUUG
RNAcentral lists this ribosomal RNA (373 nucleotides) under uncultured bacterium. RNAcentral's name for it is "bacterial SSU rRNA". It matches the Rfam family "Bacterial small subunit ribosomal RNA", at positions 521 to 896 of the family's 1533-position model. The record is from RNAcentral.